UGUCCCAUAGUGUAAUGGUAACACAAGAGAUUCUGGCUCUCUUAUUUCAGGUUCGAAUCCUGAUGGGAUAA
This 71-nucleotide transfer RNA is filed under the name Bacteroidales bacterium. Its description in RNAcentral is "tRNA-Gln". It matches the Rfam family "tRNA". From Rfam's summary of the family: Transfer RNA (tRNA) molecules are approximately 80 nucleotides in length. Their secondary structure includes four short double-helical elements and three loops (D, anti-codon, and T loops). Further hydrogen bonds mediate the characteristic L-shaped molecular structure. tRNAs have two regions of fundamental functional importance: the anti-codon, which is responsible for specific mRNA codon recognition, and the 3' end, to which the tRNAs corresponding amino acid is attached (by aminoacyl-tRNA synthetases). tRNAs cope with the degeneracy of the genetic code in two manners: having more than one tRNA (with a specific anti-codon) for a particular amino acid; and 'wobble' base-pairing, i.e. permitting non-standard base-pairing at the 3rd anti-codon position. Lineage: Bacteria; Pseudomonadati; Bacteroidota; Bacteroidia; Bacteroidales. The record is from RNAcentral.